UACAGAGGGGGCAAGCGUUAUUCGGAAUUAUUGGGCGUAAAGCGUGCGCAGGCGGUUUUGUAAGCCAGAUGUGAAAUCCCCGGGCUUAACCUGGGAAUGGCAUUUGGGACUGCAAGGCUGGAGUGCGGCAGAGGAGACUGGAAUUCCUGGUGUAGCAGUGAAAUGCGUAGAUAUCAGGAGGAACACCGAUGGCGAAGGCAGGUCUCUGGGCUGACACUGACGCUCAUGCACGAAAGCGUGGGGAGCAAACAGG
Molecule: ribosomal RNA, 253 nt
Filed under: uncultured bacterium
Lineage: Bacteria
Description: partial 16S ribosomal RNA
Rfam family: Bacterial small subunit ribosomal RNA
Source: RNAcentral